Molecule: ribosomal RNA, 157 nt
Filed under: uncultured bacterium
Lineage: Bacteria
Description: partial 16S ribosomal RNA
Rfam family: Bacterial small subunit ribosomal RNA
Source: RNAcentral
UCGGGAAUUUUGGGCAAUGGGCGCAAGCCUGACCCAGCAACGCCGCGUGAAGGAUGAAGCUUUUCGGAGUGUAAACUUCAUAAGAAUGGGACGAAUAAGGAGGGGUUAACACCCCCUUUGAUGACGGUACCAUUUGUAAGCUCCGGCUAACUCCGUG